UACGUAGGGUGCAAGCGUUGUCCGGAAUUAUUGGGCGUAAAGAGCUCGUAGGCGGUCUGUCGCGUCGGCUGUGAAAACUCGGGGCUCAACCCCGAGCCUGCAGUCGAUACGGGCAGACUAGAGUCCGGCAGGGGAGACUGGAAUUCCUGGUGUAGCGGUGAAAUGCGCAGAUAUCAGGAGGAACACCGGUGGCGAAGGCGGGUCUCUGGGCCGGAACUGACGCUGAGGAGCGAAAGCGUGGGGAGCAAACAGG
Molecule: ribosomal RNA, 253 nt
Filed under: uncultured bacterium
Lineage: Bacteria
Description: partial 16S ribosomal RNA
Rfam family: Bacterial small subunit ribosomal RNA
Source: RNAcentral